CGAGGUUUUUCUGGUCUGUGGUGUUAUCCUGGCACUUAGGGCUUGGAAAAGGCUCUUCUGGCCGGCUUGGUGCUGGGUGGCUGGCAUUUCGGGGUUCACGUAACAAUGGCAUGAUGCUUGCAGUGGCUGGAGCCGGGACGCGACUUUUCUGGUCGCUUCUCAGCCGAGAAGGGUGAAAACCGCAUCCGGAAAGGUGGAAAAACUACCUCCUAUUAGACAGUGGAUACCUGAGACUCAUUUCAUGACUUUCAAAGUUCCUUUGCAAAGUUGGAGUUGGAAUUAUCUGUUGAAGAGGAUGUCCCUUGAGAGGAAGGCUACUGUAAAACUGGUAGCAUGAAGAUGAAUCUGUGGUUUGGAGCCCCACCUAUGGUCUUUUUGAAGACUGUUAUCUUUUGACACCAAGAAAAAUGACUAGUUUGAAAUGAGUUCUUCGGCAUGCUUAGACAGAAAGGUCUUUAAAGCUUUCAUGGAUGGAGAUUUACAGUCAUAGAAGAAGAAAAAUCAUUAAAAGAUGAGCAAGAAUUUAAAGGGGAAUCUAAGUUCGCUCCAAUUAUCAAGACACCAAAACAGCCUAUCUGGAACAUUAGUAGGUAUUGGAAUGCUCUGAAGCAGAAAUGGACUGUAUGCUAAAGAGAAAUUAUUCCUAUUGUUUAAUUUUGCUGUGAAGUCAUUGGGGACAAAUCAAAUUUGAAAAGUAAGUACACAGAUAUAAAAAUCCUCAACAAGAUUCUAGCAAGAC
Long non-coding RNA from Carlito syrichta (Philippine tarsier), 739 nucleotides. RefSeq lists it as uncharacterized. The transcript has 4 exons. Lineage: Eukaryota; Metazoa; Chordata; Mammalia; Primates; Tarsiidae. The record is from RefSeq and is a predicted model, not a curated record.